ACAGCACUGAUAGGCAAGCACCCAGCAGUAUGGACCAGCUUACUUUAAAUUACACGGUAAGAAUAUUUACCCAAUACCCAUCUGCAGGUGCUCUGCAUUCUUCUUAGACCACUUGCAUACUUUUGGACUGGUAUGACCUUUCUUUUCUGUUAGGAGAUGUGCAACAUGGAGUCCAGCACAGAUUCUGACUCCGAAAUCAGUCCAAGAUGGUCCGACACCAGUACCAUGGGAUGUGUGAGCAGUGCACCAGAGAGUGGGGCCUCAAGGAGGGUGUUGCCAUUAACGCUUAAGCCUGCAGAAAGGCAUGGCUGUUAUUCUUUGGAUUUGGACCCGUACGAUGGGAGCUCUGAGGAUUCUGACAAGUCAAAUGUCAACGUCUUCAGCAGGCAAUCGAGGCAGCAGGGAAAAGGUGGAGGAAAAGGAGGAUGUCGACUCUUGGGCCGAAGCAGGCGAUAUAUCUUUAAUCACUCUGCUUCUGUUGCUCUCAGAGAAGGAGCGAAAAAUGACAAGAGAGACUGUCUGAGAGAGCAGCCGAAUCUUCUGGAUGUCCAGAUGAAAUGUGGAAGUGACUCUGACCGGUGGGUCUGCGAACUGGACACUCUUCCCUCUAACAAUGACAGGGAUGCUUGUAAAAAUCUUCCAGAAGAAAGGGUAACUGAUUCAAUAACACACAGACAAACCUCGGAUAUGGAGUUGCAGCUUGAUGAUUCAGGCUUGGAUAUUACAAGAUCCUCCACACUUCACCCACCUAACCCUCAAAGCUCAGUGGAGGGGAGUUCAUCUCACAAGCUGGGUUGCUCCUCUGAGAGAUCUCCGUGGUUGUGUAACCUUGGAUCUCUUUACAAGAGAAAACUGAGUCUCCCUGGAACAGACAUGAUUGAGUUGGGACACAGGAAGAAGCAGUGUGUCUUCAACAUGGAGGAUGAGCAAGAAGGAAACGAUUCUGCAUCUGAACCAUGUUAG
Long non-coding RNA from Oreochromis niloticus (Nile tilapia), 963 nucleotides. Lineage: Eukaryota; Metazoa; Chordata; Actinopteri; Cichliformes; Cichlidae. The record is from Ensembl.